GGCUUUAUAUUCUAAUGUCGGAUUUCAGAUUGCAAAUUUGAAGGUGCUCAAUUGUAGCUAAAGCUU
RNAcentral lists this transfer RNA (66 nucleotides) under Brachyrhynchus triangulus. RNAcentral's name for it is "tRNA-Cys". The record is from RNAcentral. Lineage: Eukaryota; Metazoa; Arthropoda; Insecta; Hemiptera; Aradidae.